Molecule: long non-coding RNA, 959 nt
Filed under: Gallus gallus (chicken)
Lineage: Eukaryota; Metazoa; Chordata; Aves; Galliformes; Phasianidae
Description: lncRNA (ENSGALG00010005994.1)
Source: RNAcentral
UUCUGCUAACCUCCUCUCAGCUUGCCCAUCUGGUGACUCUGGUCUACUGAGAGACAUCACUGACAGUGAUGGCCCAUAGAAAGGAUGGGAGGAACAGCUUAGUUACAGAGGUUAGCGUUGCCUUCUUAGAGAUCAGUAGGAUACUUUAUCCCCAAGAUACUGCAGGUUAGUAUUACAUUCCUCUCAUUCCUCACUCUAUUUCUUUGUAGCUGUCAUAAUUAUGGUCAGAAAAAUUUGAUGGCUUUUUUGUUUGUUUACUGAAAUAACACAGAUUAAAAACUAAGUUAAGUUUCACCUAAUUUCACAGUGUUUUGAACUGAAUACAUCCAUGAGAAACCUCUCACAAAGUAUUUUCUUGGCUGCAGUACAUCACCUCAUAAGGACUUAAUUCACUUUAAUGUGACAUGUGCGCAACAUCUGAGGGAAAACAAAGUACUUCCUGCAGAGUAGUCCAUAAAAGAGCUCAUAACCAGAACUCCCACUAGCUAUCUCAGGAGCAUGCUUUGUCAAUGUAUUUCAGGGAUGUUGUUUCUUUUGUGGUUUUCUUCCCAAAAAGACUAGACUUGCUUGAGGUGACCAGAAGGAGUAGGCACAGGGUGGAGGCACCCUGGGCUCACGUAAGGGCCAGCCUCCUAGACUGCUUCCUGAGAAGAAGUGCUGUAUGGCCAGUGAUCCCCUUCACUAGGACAUCUCAGCUUCUGUGAUCUCAAGUAGUGAGACUGACAUUCUGCCAGUCCUGUUAUGGUAGAGGCUGUUCUACAGUGUACCCCGUCGUGAGAAAAAUAAUGUUUAUCUUGCAUCCAACACUGCUACCUCAGCUAAGGAAGUAAAGUGAGAUUACAGGAUCUGCUUUAUGGGUAUAACUGAAAAUAAAUUCCCUUGAAGCUGAAGAUGGCAAAGAUUUAAGGAGACGGAUUGCCUGACAGCUGAGAAAAGCAACAACUUUUUGAGAUUAUGAG